This 274-nucleotide ribosomal RNA is filed under the name uncultured bacterium. RNAcentral describes it as "partial 16S ribosomal RNA". It matches the Rfam family "Bacterial small subunit ribosomal RNA", at positions 523 to 796 of the family's 1533-position model. The record is from RNAcentral.
AUACGAAAGGUGCAAGCGUUGUUCGGAUCUACUGGGCGUAAAGAGAGUGUAGGUGGUUUAUUAAGUCGGAUGUGAAAUCCCGGGGCUCAACCUCGGAACCGCAUUCGAUACUGAUAGGCUAGAGUUUGGGAGGGGUAAGCGGAAUUCCGUGUGUAGCAGUGAAAUGCGUAGAUAUACGGAGGAACACCUGAGGCGAAGGCGGCUUACUGGACCAAUACUGACACUGAGACUCGAAAGCGUGGGUAGCAAACAGGAUUAGAAACCCCUGUAGUCC